GCCCUUGUAGAUGAAAUGGUGCAUCACCCAUGCUGAGUUCAAAGGCAGCACAGUGAGAAAAUGGGAAGUGGAGGUUCGAAUCCUCCCGAGGGCA
Molecule: non-coding RNA, 94 nt
Organism: Mycena rebaudengoi
Lineage: Eukaryota; Fungi; Basidiomycota; Agaricomycetes; Agaricales; Mycenaceae
Source: the annotation of a GenBank genome assembly